This 105-nucleotide small nuclear RNA is filed under the name Nannospalax galili (Upper Galilee mountains blind mole rat). The record is from RNAcentral. Lineage: Eukaryota; Metazoa; Chordata; Mammalia; Rodentia; Spalacidae.
GUGUUCACUUCAGCAGCUGAUUUACAAAACCUAGGCCAAUAGAAAGAAGAUUAACACGGUCCGUGAGCAAGGAUGAUGCAAAUUUGUGAAGCAUUCCAUAUUUUU